AGUAGCCGCGGUAAUACGUAGGGUGCGAGCGUUAAUCGGAAUUACUGGGCGUAAAGCGUGCGCAGGCGGUUGUGUAAGACAGGUGUGAAAUCCCCGGGCUUAACCUGGGAACUGCGCUUGUGACUGCACAGCUAGAGUAUGGCAGAGGGGGGUGGAAUUCCACGUGUAGCAGUGAAAUGCGUAGAGAUGUGGAGGAACACCGAUGGCGAAGGCGGCCAUCUGGGACAACACUGACGCUGAGGCACGAAAGCGUGGGGAGCAAACAGGAUUAGAUACCCGUGUAGUCCCUGUCUCUUAUACA
Molecule: ribosomal RNA, 301 nt
Filed under: uncultured bacterium
Lineage: Bacteria
Description: partial 16S ribosomal RNA
Rfam family: Bacterial small subunit ribosomal RNA
Source: RNAcentral